RNAcentral lists this ribosomal RNA (256 nucleotides) under uncultured bacterium. Its description in RNAcentral is "partial 16S ribosomal RNA". It matches the Rfam family "Bacterial small subunit ribosomal RNA", at positions 793 to 1055 of the family's 1533-position model. The record is from RNAcentral.
GUCCACGCCGUAAACGAUGCUAACUCGUUUUUGUGAUUCGUCAUGAGAGACUAAGCGAAAGUGAUAAGUUAGCCACCUGGGGAGUACGUUCGCAAGAAUGAAACUCAAAGGAAUUGACGGGGGCCCGCACAAGCGGUGGAUUAUGUGGUUUAAUUCGAUGAUACGCGAGGAACCUUACCAAGACUUAAAUGGGAGUGGACAGGCUUAGAAAUAGGCUCUCCUUCGGGCCGCUUCCAAGGUGCUGCAUGGUUGUCGU